GACAUAGGGGGCAAGCGUUAUCCGGAAUCACUGGGCGUAAAGAGAGCGUAGGCGGUUAAUUAAGUUAAGUGUGAAAGCCUUGGGCUCAACCCAAGAACUGCACUUAAUACUGGUUGACUAGAGUAUUGGAGAGGUAAGUGGAAUUCCUAGUGUAGCGGUAAAAUGCGUAGAUAUUAGGAGGAACAUCAGAGGCGAAGGCGGCUUACUGGACAAUAACUGACGCUGAGGUUCGAAAGCGUGGGGAUCAAAC
RNAcentral lists this ribosomal RNA (250 nucleotides) under uncultured bacterium. RNAcentral's name for it is "partial 16S ribosomal RNA". It matches the Rfam family "Bacterial small subunit ribosomal RNA", at positions 524 to 773 of the family's 1533-position model. The record is from RNAcentral.